GUAUCCCACCUGGGGAGUACGAUCGCAAGGUUGAAACUCAAAGGAAUUGACGGGGGCCCGCACAAGCGGUGGAUUAUGUGGUUUAAUUCGAUGCAACGCGAAGAACCUUACCAGGGCUUGACAUCCUGCUAACGAGGUAGAGAUACGUCAGGUGCCCUUCGGGGAAAGCAGAGACAGGUGGUGCAUGGUUGUCGUCAGCUCGUGUCGUGAGAUGUUGGGUUAAGUCCCGCAACGAGCGCAACCCUUAUUGUUAGUUGCUACGCAAGAGCACUCUAGCGAGACUGCCGUUGACAAAACGGAGGAAGGUGGGGACGACGUCAAAUCAUCAUGCCCCUUAUGUCCUGGGCUACACACGUAAUACAAUGGCGGUAAACAGAGGGAUGCAAAACUGCGAAGUGGAGCGAACCCCUAAAAGCCGUCCCAGUUCAGAUUGCAGUCUGCAACUCGACUGCAUGAAGUCGGAAUCGCUAGUAAUCGCGGAUCAGCAUGCCGCGGUGAAU
RNAcentral lists this ribosomal RNA (500 nucleotides) under uncultured bacterium. RNAcentral's name for it is "bacterial SSU rRNA". It matches the Rfam family "Bacterial small subunit ribosomal RNA", at positions 864 to 1367 of the family's 1533-position model. The record is from RNAcentral.